GGUCGGUUAGCUCAGUUGGUUAGAGCGUGGUGCUAAUAUGAGUCUUGAAUGUACUUGUACACGCCAAGGUCGCGGGUUCGACCCCCGUACUGACCA
This is a non-coding RNA of Trichodelitschia bisporula, 96 nucleotides long. NCBI's taxonomy places the organism in Eukaryota, Fungi, Ascomycota, Dothideomycetes, Phaeotrichales, Phaeotrichaceae. The record is from the annotation of a GenBank genome assembly.